AGAUGGCGACCGGCGCACGGGGGAGUAACACGUAUCCAACCUGCCGAUAACUCGGGGAUAGCCUUUCGAAAGAAAGAUUAAUACCCGAUGGCAUAAUUAGACCGCAUGGUCUUAUUAUUAAAGAAUUUCGGUUAUCGAUGGGGAUGCGUUCCAUUAGGCAGUUGGUGAGGUAACGGCUCACCAAACCUUCGAUGGAUAGGGGUUCUGAGAGGAAGGUCCCCCACAUUGGAACUGAGACACGGUCCAA
RNAcentral lists this ribosomal RNA (247 nucleotides) under uncultured bacterium. Its description in RNAcentral is "partial 16S ribosomal RNA". It matches the Rfam family "Bacterial small subunit ribosomal RNA", at positions 86 to 334 of the family's 1533-position model. The record is from RNAcentral.